AAACACGAGCACCAGACCUGACUGGGUGGUUGAGGGAGCUCCUGGUGAAAUGUGCUGAGGCUUCUGCUGAGGUUUCUACCUCAGCUCCACGGCCUGGCCAGUUCAAUGGAUUGAAGAAAAUGUUCACGGAAGGAAGAUGAUUAAUUGAUCCAGAGGGCCUGUAGCAACUCUGUUUAACAUGCUAGAUGAGCCAGUCUUAUUCAGUGAUGACUAAGGAUCUAGAGAAAACUGGUGUCAGAUGACUUCUUGGCAGUCAUUUGCAGACUAAGGUAGCUUUGAAGGUGAAGAUUCUUUGUGUUCAUUCUCAUCCUGAUGUAAAAAUACUACCUGAGACUGGAUAAUUUAUAAACAAAAGAGGUUUAAUUGAUUCACAGUUCCUCAUGCCUGGGGAGGCCUCAGGAAACUUACAAUCACAGCGGAAGGCAAAAGGGAAGAAGGCACCUUCUUCACAAGGUGGCAGGAGAGACAGUGAGGAAGUGCCAUACUUUAAAACCAUCAGCUCUCAUGAGACUUCACUCAUGAUCACGAGAACAGCAUGGGGAACCUUCUCCCAUGAUUCAAUCACCUCCCACCAGCUCCCUCCUCGACAUGUGGGGAUUACAAUUUGAGAUGAGAUUUGGGUGGGUACACAGAGACAAACCAUAUCUAUCAAUUCUGAAUGUUUAAUACCAGUAUUAUUAGAGGAGGAUCUAGUCCCCUUCAGGACAUAAGGAUCUAUGAUCCUCUGUCAGAACAUAUUAGACCCUUUCCUUUGGCUAUAACCAAAAGAUUAUAAACAUACAUCCAGGAAUAAAAAUAGUAUAUUAAAAUUGUGUGUGUGUGUGUGUGUACGAAUGUAAAUUUUUUGUGCCAAAUCUAAAGACUCUUUACCUAGUCCUAAUGUGUCUUGAAGAUCUUCUGCAGUUUUUUUUCUAGAAAUUUUAUAGUUUUAUGUUUUACAUUUAAGUCUGUGAUUCAUUUUUAGUUAAUUUUUUUUGUAUAAGAUGUGAAGCUUAGGUUAAGGUUCAUGUUUUUGCCUAUGGUUGUUCAAUUGCUCUAAUAGCAUUUAUUGAAAAGGUUAAUGAUUUAUUUGUACUUCUGCCAAAAUUAAUUGAUCAUACUCAUGUGGUCAUACUUCCGCUUUCUCUGUUUUAUACCACUUAGCUUUGUCUAUCUUGCUAUCAAUACCACACUGUCUUGAUUACUGUAGCUAUAUAUUACUGUAGCUAUAUAGUAAACUUUAAUAAAAGGAAGAUGAACUUUCUUCUUCUUUUUUCAAAAUCGUUUUGGCUGUUUAAGGUCUUUUUCUUUUGGUAUACAUUUUAGAGUAAAAGUACAUACUUCUGUGAAAUACCUUACUAAGCUUCUGAUAGGAAAUACGAUAACACUGUAGAACAGUUUAGGGAGGACUGGUAUCUUUACUAAAUCUUCUAACCCAUAAACAUGAUAUUUAGGUCUUCUUGUCUUUCACCAACAUUUUGUAAUUUUCAACAUGUAGAUUCUAUACAAUUUUGUUGAGAUUAUGUCAUCUGUGAAUAAAGACUGUUUUAUUUCUUUUCCAAUUUGUAUGCCUUUUAUUUUUUUGUGUGCUUGUUAUAAUGACUAGAACUUCCAGUAAUACGUUGAAUAAUAGUGCUGAAAACAGAUUUCCUUGCCUUGUUCCUGAUCUUAGAGUGAAAGCAUUUAGCCUUUCACCAUUAUGUAUUACAUAGAUAUUGUUUCUUUUUUUUGUGUAUGUAAUUUCUUAUUAUGAGAUUAAGGAAGUUCCCUUCUAUUCCUAGUGUAUUGAAAGUUUUUAUAAUGAAUGGGUGUUGAAUUUUGU
RNAcentral lists this long non-coding RNA (1801 nucleotides) under Homo sapiens (human). Its description in RNAcentral is "non-protein coding lnc-GPBP1-3:8". Lineage: Eukaryota; Metazoa; Chordata; Mammalia; Primates; Hominidae. The record is from RNAcentral.